RNAcentral lists this transfer-messenger RNA (362 nucleotides) under bovine gut metagenome. It matches the Rfam family "transfer-messenger RNA". Rfam says of the family: Bacterial tmRNA, also known as 10Sa RNA or SsrA, is named for its dual tRNA and mRNA-like properties. The record is from RNAcentral.
GGGGGCGAACUGGUUUCGACCGGGCGGGUGAAGCGCGAAUUGCGCGUCGAGGUUGAUCGGUGGGCCUCGUUAAAAGCCGAUUAAACUUUCAAUUGCCAAUAACCAAAUGGCUAUGGCUGCCUGAGAAUAGGCAACCCCGAAUAUGAGUCUUUUCCGAAGAGACGGAGUAUUCGGUCGCUAAAUUCGGAUCGUCUGUCGCCGCGUCAGACACUCGACAGAUUAAACCUUGCUUCUGAAUCGUUCUGGCGAAACCGUCGUCGAUAAGGGUUCAACGGAAUUAAACAAAACAAAGAAUCGACUACACGCGUAGACGUUCUCGUAGAGACGUCGCGGGACGCGGGUUCGAUUCCCGCCGCCUCCAC